This is a long non-coding RNA of Portunus trituberculatus (swimming crab), 826 nucleotides long. RefSeq lists it as uncharacterized. The transcript has 4 exons. Lineage: Eukaryota; Metazoa; Arthropoda; Malacostraca; Decapoda; Portunidae. The record is from RefSeq and is a predicted model, not a curated record.
GAAGAAGAAAUGAGAAAUAGAGGCGGAAUAGGAGAAAGAUCCAAGGUGUAAUAUUUAGUGCAGACAAUGCAAUACUGGCAGACCUGCAGACCAACCCCGCACCAAAGAGCAACAAAUGUGCCUCAGAAAGUCAGUUCUCCUACGGCGGUGGCAAUUCCAUCCCGAAGCAGCGCACAUGUGCCGCCAUCAAUGACUGCAGUAGCGACGAGAUGAGGAUGAGUUUGUGCAGCUGUGUGGCAUUGAUGAGAGCCGGGAGAAAAAUGUCGGGUGUGAGCCCCUGUGCAUCAACACUCGAGAGUCAUACUAUUGCCAAUGCCGGCCAGGAUACAGACUCGUCAGGAAGUUCAACUAUGAAGGCUCACGCGUGUAGGUAGAAGCAAUAAGAUGAAGAAGAAGGAAAAACAAAGGAGGAGGACGAAAAAGAAAUGGGAAAUAGAGACGGAAUAGGAGAAAGAUCCAAGGUGUAAUAUUUAGGUAAGUUACCCUUGUAAUCUUAACGUUCUUUCUAACUCAUUUGUGUAUAUCUGGGCACACUUAGGGUGUUUUAAGUGUGUUCAUUAGUGUUCCAGCGUGUUUGGGGUGUUAUAAGUGUUUUGGGUACUUUUUCUGUGUUUUCAGUGUGUUUUUUAUUUGGGUAUAAUUUACGUACCUUAAGUGGAGGUAUGUUUGAGUAUUUGAAUGUGUUUUGAGUGUGUUUAGGAACAUUUUGAGGAGUUGUAUGGUGCUUUUAAUGUGUUCUGGGUUAGUGUUGCGUGUUAUUUAAGUGGUAUGGGUGUGUAGUAGUGGUCUUUUGGGUGUGUGGAAGGAUUAUUUCAAUAUGUAUUGG